CGUAGGCCCGUAUUUAUAGUCGAGUCUCAAGACAGCGUCGAUGCUCAAGACCGACCUUGAACCAACUUUGUGUUUUAUAAACCGAUCUCGAGACACGACGUUGUCUUGGGAAGUGUAAAAUGACAGGCGAAUCUCAAGUCAUCGAUCGACCUUCCUCAAGACCGCGAUUCUAACCUAACUUUGUUUGUUAUUGUUUGAAUUUUGAAUAUUUUAAAUUCAGUUCCAACAUAUAUUUUUUGUUUUUCUAAUUACAACAAAAAUGUAUGAAGAAGUAAAAGCAUUUUUAGAGUUUAUUGAUAAUAUUGGAGAAGAAAAUCGCCCGGGAAGUAUACAAAAGCGAUAUAUUCAAGAUAAAAAUAUAAUCUAAAAUACAAUGGAGUAUUACAAUAUUGAAGUUCAUCAGCGAAUCAGCGCAUUAACUUAAACAAUAAAGGUUUUAUGCUACUUAUAGGAAUAUAACCAGUUUUUAUGAGGACCCCGCUUUCCAAAAAUGUACAGGUACUAGAAGAGAAAUUAUGUGUAUUAUUGUUCAACAACAAGGUUAUAAGUCAUAGGUAAAUAAUGAUCUGGUGGUAAAUAGACAUGUUAAUGAUGUGGAACAAUUUCUAAAUUUUUGGUGACAUUUUUUUCAACAAUAUUUUGCAUGAGAAUACAUUAUUGAAUACCUACUCUUAUUGUGUUUGAUUUUUUUGUCUAUUAUUUCUCAAAAUAUCAUGAUCAUUGUUCCACAGCCCUUUUUGUUUGAGUUUUGGUCUCUUGGGGAAUACAGCUCCAUUCCAAUCUAUUUCAGGAUUUGUUCUUGCAAUUUUUUAUUUUUAAAAUAUCAAUGUCUUAUUCUGUUUGUUCCUUAUAUCUAAUCUAUAGUCUUUCUCUCGUUAUAUGUCCAGCUGACAUUUGUGUGUUUAUUUUGGAAAGUAAUUCAUAUGCUUCCAUCCUUCCUCUUAGAACGUGGUCCUAUUUUGAUGAAUGCAUAUGGAUCGUGGUCUUAGAACAUCAUGGAUCAUGCUUCUAUCCUUCCUCUUAGAACGUGGUCCUAUUUUGAUGAAUGUAUAUGGAUCGUGGUAUGCCCUGUAUAGUUCAAAAUUAUAUUUCAUAUGCUUCCAUCUUUCCUCUUAGAACGUGGUCCUAUUUUGAUGAAUGUAUAUGAAUCAUGGUAUGCCCUGUAUAGUUCAAAAUUAUAUCUUCUCUGGUCUUCAUAUUUUAGAUGCUAUUUAGCCUGAUUAGUGCUUUAUCGUUGUUUCCAGUGCUUUAUCAAUUUAUCAUCAUUUAUUUUACCUACCUGUCUACUGCUACUCUACUAUUGUACUUUCACCAUAUAUUUUUGGAAUAUAAAUAUACCUUCUGUCUUUCUCUUGUUCAACUGGAAUUUGUUUAUUUAUUCUGAGAAUACAUUAUUGAAUCUGUAUUAUGUUAGAUAUAUUAUUUUUUAUUUUAUUUCUUAAUAUGUAUUUUUUAUAUUUUAUUUUAAAAUAAAUGAGUAUGAGUUUCCCUCUUCUUAAAUAA
Diabrotica virgifera virgifera (western corn rootworm) is the source of this 1503-nucleotide long non-coding RNA. RefSeq lists it as uncharacterized. The transcript has 2 exons. Lineage: Eukaryota; Metazoa; Arthropoda; Insecta; Coleoptera; Chrysomelidae. The record is from RefSeq and is a predicted model, not a curated record.